UACGUAGGGUGCAAGCGUUAAUCGGAAUUACUGGGCGUAAAGCGUGCGCAGGCGGUUGUGCAAGACAGAUGUGAAAUCCCCGGGCUCAACCUGGGAAUUGCAUUUGUGACUGCACGGCUAGAGUGUGUCAGAGGGGGGGUAGAAUUCCACGUGUAGCAGUGAAAUGCGUAGAGAUGUGGAGGAAUACCGAGUGGCGAAGGCAGCCCCCUGGGAUAACACUGACGCUCAUGCACGAAAGCGUGGGGAGCAAACAGG
This 255-nucleotide ribosomal RNA is filed under the name uncultured bacterium. RNAcentral's name for it is "partial 16S ribosomal RNA". It matches the Rfam family "Bacterial small subunit ribosomal RNA", at positions 524 to 776 of the family's 1533-position model. The record is from RNAcentral.